RNAcentral lists this ribosomal RNA (518 nucleotides) under uncultured fungus. RNAcentral's name for it is "SSU rRNA". It matches the Rfam family "Eukaryotic small subunit ribosomal RNA", at positions 214 to 732 of the family's 1831-position model. Lineage: Eukaryota; Fungi. The record is from RNAcentral.
AUUAAAAACCAAUGCCCUUCGGGGCUCUCUGGUGAUUCAUAAUAACUUCUCGAAUCGCACGGCCUUGCGCCGGCGAUGGUUCAUUCAAAUUUCUGCCCUAUCAACUUUCGACGGCUGGGUCUUGGCCAGCCGUGGUGACAACGGGUAACGGAGGGUUAGGGCUCGACCCCGGAGAAGGAGCCUGAGAAACGGCUACUACAUCCAAGGAAGGCAGCAGGCGCGCAAAUUACCCAAUCCCGACACGGGGAGGUAGUGACAAUAAAUACUGAUACAGGGCUCUUUCGGGUCUUGUAAUUGGAAUGAGUACAAUUUAAAUCCCUUAACGAGGAACAAUAGGAGGGCAAGUCUGGUGCCAGCAGCCGCGGUAAUUCCAGCUCCAAUAGCGUAUAUUAAAGUUGUUGAGGUUAAAAAGCUCGUAGUUGAACCUUGGGCCUAGCCGGCCGGUCCGCCUCACCGCGUGCACUGGCUCGGCUGGGUCUUUCCUUCUGGAGAACCGCAUGCCCUUCACUGGGUGUGCC